Sapajus apella (tufted capuchin) is the source of this 230-nucleotide long non-coding RNA. RefSeq lists it as uncharacterized. The transcript has 2 exons. NCBI's taxonomy places the organism in Eukaryota, Metazoa, Chordata, Mammalia, Primates, Cebidae. The record is from RefSeq and is a predicted model, not a curated record.
AGAAAAGUUAAUUCAACAUAUAAAAUGAAUAAAUUAGGUGUAAGGCUUAGGUCAUUAGGGAAUAAUUUUCUUAUCAAAAUCUAGUUGGAUUAAAAACUGCUCUAUGGUAGUAAGUAUUGUAUAAGGCAGUAUAACUACACCAGCCUGAGAUCAUAAAACCAUUUUGGUUGAUCCUUGAGUGAUGAUCAUGAUUUCAUCGAGUAACAAGAGUAAAAAAAAAAAAAAUCCAA